Molecule: ribosomal RNA, 465 nt
Filed under: Vreelandella stevensii
Lineage: Bacteria; Pseudomonadati; Pseudomonadota; Gammaproteobacteria; Oceanospirillales; Halomonadaceae
Description: partial 16S ribosomal RNA
Rfam family: Bacterial small subunit ribosomal RNA
Source: RNAcentral
CCUACGGGGGGCUGCAGUGGGGAAUAUUGGACAAUGGGGGGAACCCUGAUCCAGCCAUGCCGCGUGUGUGAAGAAGGCCCUCGGGUUGUAAAGCACUUUCAGUGAGGAAGAACGCCUGGUGGUUAAUACCCAUCAGGAAAGACAUCACUCACAGAAGAAGCACCGGCUAACUCCGUGCCAGCAGCCGCGGUAAUACGGAGGGUGCGAGCGUUAAUCGGAAUUACUGGGCGUAAAGCGCGCGUAGGUGGCUUGAUAAGCCGGUUGUGAAAGCCCCGGGCUCAACCUGGGAACGGCAUCCGGAACUGUCAAGCUAGAGUGCAGGAGAGGAAGGUAGAAUUCCCGGUGUAGCGGUGAAAUGCGUAGAGAUCGGGAGGAAUACCAGUGGCGAAGGCGGCCUUCUGGACUGACACUGCCACUGAGGUGCGAAAGCGUGGGUAGCAAACAGGAUUAGAUACCCGUGUAGUC